Molecule: ribosomal RNA, 1063 nt
Filed under: Vibrio parahaemolyticus
Lineage: Bacteria; Pseudomonadati; Pseudomonadota; Gammaproteobacteria; Vibrionales; Vibrionaceae
Description: partial 23S ribosomal RNA
Rfam family: Bacterial large subunit ribosomal RNA
Source: RNAcentral
UUUGUAUAAUGGGUCAGCGACUUAUAUUCAGUGGCAAGGUUAACCAUCUAGGGGAGCCGUAGGGAAACCGAGUCUUAACUGGGCGUUCAGUCUCUGGAUAUAGACCCGAAACCAGGUGAUCUAGCCAUGGGCAGGUUGAAGGUUGAGUAACAUCAACUGGAGGACCGAACCGACUAAUGUUGAAAAAUUAGCGGAUGACUUGUGGCUAGGGGUGAAAGGCCAAUCAAACCUGGAGAUAGCUGGUUCUCCCCGAAAGCUAUUUAGGUAGCGCCUCGGACGAAUACUACUGGGGGUAGAGCACUGUUAAGGCUAGGGGGUCAUCCCGACUUACCAACCCUUUGCAAACUCCGAAUACCAGUAAGUACUAUCCGGGAGACACACGGCGGGUGCUAACGUCCGUCGUGGAGAGGGAAACAACCCAGACCGCCAGCUAAGGUCCCAAAUUACUACUAAGUGGGAAACGAUGUGGGAAGGCUCAGACAGCCAGGAUGUUGGCUUAGAAGCAGCCAUCAUUUAAAGAAAGCGUAAUAGCUCACUGGUCGAGUCGGCCUGCGCGGAAGAUGUAACGGGGCUAAGUAGUAAACCGAAGCUGCGGCAAUAUACUUUUGUAUAUUGGGUAGGGGAGCGUUCUGUAAGCGGUUGAAGGUGUGUGGUAACGCAUGCUGGACGUAUCAGAAGUGCGAAUGCUGACAUGAGUAACGAUAAAGGGGGUGAAAAACCUCCUCGCCGGAAGACCAAGGGUUCCUGUCCAACGUUAAUCGGGGCAGGGUAAGUCGACCCCUAAGGCGAGGCCGAAAGGCGUAGUCGAUGGGAAACGGGUUAAUAUUCCCGUACUUCUUACAAUUGCGAUGGGGGGACGGAGAAGGCUAGGUGGGCCUGGCGACGGUUGUCCAGGUUCAAGUGCGUAGGCUGAGAGAUUAGGUAAAUCCGGUUUCUCUUAAGGCUGAGACACGACGUCGAGCACCUACGGGUGUGAAGUCAUUGAUGCCAUGCUUCCAGGAAAAGCCUCUAAGCUUCAGAUUGUAAGGAAUCGUACCCCAAACCGACACAGGUGGUCGGGUAG